UACGGGGGGUGCAAGCGUUGUUCGGAAUUACUGGGCGUAAAGGGCUCGUAGGUGGCCAACUAAGUCAGACGUGAAAUCCCUCAGCUUAACUGGGGAACUGCGUCUGAUACUGGAUGGCUUGAGAUUGGGAGAGGGAUGCGGAAUUCCAGGUGUAGCGGUGAAAUGCGUAGAUAUCGGGAGGAACACCUGAGGCGAAGGCGGGCUACUGGGCCGAUACUGACGCUGAGGCGCGAAAGCCAGGGGAGCAAACGGG
Molecule: ribosomal RNA, 253 nt
Filed under: uncultured bacterium
Lineage: Bacteria
Description: partial 16S ribosomal RNA
Rfam family: Bacterial small subunit ribosomal RNA
Source: RNAcentral